UACGAAGGGGGCUAGCGUUGUUCGGAAUUACUGGGCGUAAAGCGCGCGCAGGCGGUCUUCCAAGUCAGUGGUGAAAGCCCGGAGCUCAACUCCGGAACUGCCAUUGAAACUGUAAGACUUGAGGAUGAGAGAGGUGAGUGGAAUUCCCAGUGUAGAGGUGAAAAUUCGUAGAUAUCGGGAGGAACACCGGUGGCGAAGGCGGCGAUCUGGGUCGAUACUGACGCUGAGGUGCGAAAGCGUGGGUAGCGAACAGG
RNAcentral lists this ribosomal RNA (254 nucleotides) under uncultured bacterium. RNAcentral's name for it is "partial 16S ribosomal RNA". It matches the Rfam family "Bacterial small subunit ribosomal RNA", at positions 524 to 776 of the family's 1533-position model. The record is from RNAcentral.